RNAcentral lists this transfer RNA (75 nucleotides) under Oscillospiraceae bacterium. RNAcentral describes it as "tRNA-Glu". It matches the Rfam family "tRNA". From Rfam's summary of the family: Transfer RNA (tRNA) molecules are approximately 80 nucleotides in length. The record is from RNAcentral. Lineage: Bacteria; Bacillati; Bacillota; Clostridia; Eubacteriales; Oscillospiraceae.
GGCCCGUUGGUCAAGUGGUCAAGACGGAGGCCUCUCACGCCUCAAUCGGGAGUUCGACUCUCCCACGGGUCACCA